RNAcentral lists this ribosomal RNA (497 nucleotides) under uncultured bacterium. RNAcentral describes it as "partial 16S ribosomal RNA". It matches the Rfam family "Bacterial small subunit ribosomal RNA", at positions 28 to 507 of the family's 1533-position model. The record is from RNAcentral.
GAUGAACGCUGGCGGCGUGCCUAAUACAUGCCAGUCAAGCGAACGGACGAGAAGCUUGCUUCUCUGAUGUUAGCGGCGGACGGGUGAGUAACACGUGGAUAACCUACCUAUAAGACUGGGAUAACUUCGGGAAACCGGAGCUAAUACCGGAUAAUAUUUUGAACCGCAUGGUUCAAAAGUGAAAGACGGUCUUGCUGUCACUUAUAGAUGGAUCCGCGCUGCAUUAGCUAGUUGGUAAGGUAACGGCUUACCAAGGCAACGAUGCAUAGCCGACCUGAGAGGGUGAUCGGACACACUGGAACUGAGACACGGUCCAGACUCCUACGGGAGGCAGCAGUAGGGAAUCUUCCGCAAUGGGCGAAAGCCUGACGGAGCAACGCCGCGUGAGUGAUGAAGGUCUUCGGAUCGUAAAACUCUGUUAUUAGGGAAGAACAUAUGUGUAAGUAACUGUGCACAUCUUGACGGUACCUAAUCAGAAAGCCACGGCUAACUACGUG